This 756-nucleotide ribosomal RNA is filed under the name Triticum aestivum (bread wheat). RNAcentral describes it as "partial small subunit ribosomal RNA". Lineage: Eukaryota; Viridiplantae; Streptophyta; Magnoliopsida; Poales; Poaceae. The record is from RNAcentral.
AUGGAACUUGCAUUGGAAAAGGUAAUGCCAAACACCACACAUCGCUGGUGCAAAUGGCAUGUUCUUAAAAAGUCCAAAGAAAAGUUGGGAGCAUACUACACAAAGCGAAGUAACUUCAUAGCAGAGUUUCAUAAAAUUGUGAACCACAUGAUCACAGUUGAUGAAUUUGAAAAAGCAUGGUCAGAGCUGAUUGAUAAGUACAGUCUGCAAAAAAACACUUACUUGGCAAACAUAUAUGAAGUCAGAUCAAAAUGGGCCAAACCAUACUUCAAUGGGAAAUUUUGCGCGAAAAUGACAAGCACACAACGCAGUGAGAGUGCAAAUCAUAUGCUCAAAGGAUAUGUCCCAGCAAGCUGCCCGAUGCACUUAUUUGUAAGAGAGUAUAUGAGACUUCUUUUUGACCGAGAAGCAAAUGAAAACUAUGAAGAACGGCGAACAAAAAUAGUGUUACCUGCUAUGAAGCUUAAUUCACCACUAGAAUACCAUGCAAGCAAGAUCUACACUAUCGCAAUGUUAGAGAAAUUUGGUGAUAUCCUAUAUGAAGCACAACAAUACAGAGUAGAGGAGGUUGAAAAAGCAUCAAAAUAUUAUGUACAUCGAUAUAACCCCGAGAAGCAUGCCAAGUGGUGCAAAGUUAUGUACAUAGUGCAUGUGCUUCAAGAUGGGGAAGAGCUUAUCUGUGAAUGUGCUGGCUUCGAGCACACUGGGUUACUUUGCUGUCAUUCACUCAAGGUACCACCUUACUACAUAGAGUGA